Molecule: ribosomal RNA, 468 nt
Filed under: uncultured bacterium
Lineage: Bacteria
Description: partial 16S ribosomal RNA
Rfam family: Bacterial small subunit ribosomal RNA
Source: RNAcentral
GACGAACGCUGGCGGCGUGCUUAACACAUGCAAGUCGAACGGAAAGGCCCUGCUUUUGUGGGGUGCUCGAGUGGCGAACGGGUGAGUAACACGUGAGUAACCUGCCCUUGACUUUGGGAUAACUUCAGGAAACUGGGGCUAAUACCGGAUAGGAGCUCCUGCUGCAUGGUGGGGGUUGGAAAGUUUCGGCGGUUGGGGAUGGACUGGCGGCUUAUCAGCUUGUUGGUGGGGUAGUGGCUUACCAAGGCUUUGACGGGUAGCCGGCCGGAGAGGGUGACCGGCCCCCUUGGGCCUGAGAUACGGCCCAGUGUCCUACGGGAGGCAGCAGUGGGGAAUAUUGCACAAUGGGCGGAAGCCUGAUGCAGCAACGCCGCGUGCGGGAUGACGGCCUUCGGGUUGUAAACCGCUUUCGCCUGUGACGAAGCGUGAGUGACGGUAAUGGGUAAAGAAGCACCGGCUAACUACGUG